Molecule: unclassified non-coding RNA, 414 nt
Filed under: Hevea brasiliensis (rubber tree)
Lineage: Eukaryota; Viridiplantae; Streptophyta; Magnoliopsida; Malpighiales; Euphorbiaceae
Source: RNAcentral
AAAAAAAAAAAAGAAAAAGUAACACUUUGAUUUUAAAUUUGAGGAUAAUGUUGAAAAAGACCGUAGGCAGCCAGUUCAGAGCUCGCUACAAUCAUCUAAGGGCUUUUGUUAUUUCUAGUAAUAGGUACAAGGAACCAAUGAUUCAUUGGCUUAGUGGUUAAUGAUGAUGUGAGUUUAGACGAGAUUUUAGGUUUGAGUUUGGGGGUUGUAAGUGUAUCGUUUGAUUUGGGGUUUUAUAGCUCGUUAUUUAGUUUUCGUGAUUUUCAGGCUAUUGUGAGAGUUUAAGGGAUGAUUAGUCUGGUUAAUUAAUAGUUGAGAUAAACCUUUUAAGGCACAAAAAAAAAUUAUAAGAAAUAAAUUUUAUAAUUAAUGUUCACUGAUAUGGUAUGAAUUCUCACACCAACAUGAAACGGG